Molecule: ribosomal RNA, 497 nt
Filed under: uncultured bacterium
Lineage: Bacteria
Description: partial 16S ribosomal RNA
Rfam family: Bacterial small subunit ribosomal RNA
Source: RNAcentral
GAUGAACGCUGGCGGCGUGCCUAAUACAUGCAAGUCGAGCGAACAGAUGAGGAGCUUGCUCCUCUGACGUUAGCGGCGGACGGGUGAGUAACACGUGGAUAACCUACCUAUAAGACUGGGAUAACUUCGGGAAACCGGAGCUAAUACCGGAUAAUAUAUUGAACCGCAUGGUUCGAUAGUGAAAGACGGUUUUGCUGUCACUUAUAGAUGGAUCCGCGCCGCAUUAGCUAGUUGGUAAGGUAACGGCUUACCAAGGCAACGAUGCGUAGCCGACCUGAGAGGGUGAUCGGCCACACUGGAACUGAGACACGGUCCAGACUCCUACGGGAGGCAGCAGUAGGGAAUCUUCCGCAAUGGGCGAAAGCCUGACGGAGCAACGCCGCGUGAGUGAUGAAGGUCUUCGGAUCGUAAAGCUCUGUUAUUAGGGAAGAACAAAUGUGUAAGUAACUAUGCACGUCUUGACGGUACCUAAUCAGAAAGCCACGGCUAACUACGUG